UAGUCGAAGCUGCGAUGGAGUUCGUCGG
This 28-nucleotide small RNA is filed under the name Bombyx mori (domestic silkworm). Its description in RNAcentral is "ovarian small RNA-22993". The record is from RNAcentral. Lineage: Eukaryota; Metazoa; Arthropoda; Insecta; Lepidoptera; Bombycidae.